RNAcentral lists this ribosomal RNA (468 nucleotides) under uncultured bacterium. RNAcentral describes it as "partial 16S ribosomal RNA". It matches the Rfam family "Bacterial small subunit ribosomal RNA", at positions 28 to 507 of the family's 1533-position model. The record is from RNAcentral.
GACGAACGCUGGCGGCGUGCUUAACACAUGCAAGUCGAACGGAAAGGCCCUGCUUUUGUGGGGUGCUCGAGUGGCGAACGGGUGAGUAACACGUGAGUAACCUGCCCUUGACUUUGUGAUAACUGCAGGCAACUGGGGCUAAUACCGGAGAGGAGCUCCUGCUGCAUGGUGGGGGUUGGACAUCUUCGGCGGUAGUGGAUGGAGUCUGGGGUAAUCAGCUUGUUGGUGGGGUAGUGGCUUACCAAGGCUUUGACGGAUAGCCGGCAUGGGAGGUGGGACGGCGACCAGAGGACUACGAGACGGAGCAGUCUGCAAUGGGAGGCAGCAGGGGGGAACAUUGUACAAUGGGGGGACGCCUGAUGCAGCGACGCCGCGUGCGGGAAGACGGCUUUCGUGUGGUAAACCGCUUUCGCCUGUGACGAAGCGGGAGUGACGGUAAUGGGUAAAGAAGCACCGGCUAACUACGUG